Equus asinus (donkey) is the source of this 7888-nucleotide long non-coding RNA. Lineage: Eukaryota; Metazoa; Chordata; Mammalia; Perissodactyla; Equidae. The record is from Ensembl.
UUGAAAUGAAAACAAAAUAAUAACAGCAGCUAACAUUUAUGUACUGCUUGCUGACUGUCCUGGGCCCUCUGCUCAGUCCUUUACAGAGAAGAUCUUAUUUCAUCUUCACAACAACCCAAGAUGUAAGUUCUAUCAUAACACCCAUUUUACAGAUGAGAAAUGGAGGCAUCAUGCUGGAGUCUUUAAGAGCUCAAUCUGAUCUGGGAUCUGUAUAUUCUACCCAGCAAUGGGACCCCUCAUGACUUGGGCCUCCACUUGCUACAGGGGAUGUGGUGGCUGUUGAGGGUGUGGGAAGAAGGUGUCAACAGGCUCUACUUGUCUCUCUGCCUCCCUCCUUCUCCCCUGUGUCUUGCAUUAACAGGGACAGUCUGUCCCAUGCAGCCUAUUGCCAGGUCCCUUCCUCUCCUGAUGGGCAAGACCAUACUAGAAUAGGCCAGAACCCCCAUUCUCCUUUGAGUUCUUUACCUGGCUAGCCUUAGGGCGCAGGAUGUGGCAGAAAUGGAAGUGAAAUGAUAAAGAAUGUUCCUAUUCACCUGAUACUUGCGUAUCUGCUUUGUUCCAGGGACCACACCAAGUACUUUGCAUACAGUAUCCUCUUCAGUCCUCACUCUACUCGGUGAGGUAGGUGUCCUCAUCCCACAAUGUACCUGAGAUUCCCAGAGUUUUAUCAACUCACCUAAUGUCCCAGAAGCUGGAAGCAGAGCCAGGAUUUGAAAUAAGGCCCAUCUGCCUCCAAUUUGAAGAAAUUCAACAAAAAACUAAGGAAUACCUCCUCUUGGGCAUGCUCAUCCCCUUCCCAUGCAGCAUGUUGCCACAAUACCCUUGGUGUCAGAGGCACAGCCAUAAUCACAUUCUCAGGUGCUUGGUUAGGGCAUCCUUGAAAGCCUGACUUUGGUGGCAGCUUUUUGGUCUGCUUAUUAGAAAAAGUCACAAAGAUCCCAUUCGUUGGUAUAAAAUUAGAGACAGAAGCUGUGUAGGACAGCGGGUAAGAUGAGCAGCAUUCUCAGCUGGAAAAUCGAGAAUCCUCCUCCCGACUUCCGUCCUCUCCUCUUCUGCUCUUUAGCAACUCAUGCGCUCGUAGUUCACGUGCAGCCAUUUUUGUGGACAUGUUCCUGAUGGAUGAUGAGAACCUGUCGUGAAAUGGUGCACCAGGAGGAGAGAGGAGAGCCCGGAGUCCACACCUGCACCCUUUGCUUUGUGAAAUUCCAGACUGUUUCAUCCGCUCUACCUCAUCCUAAGAACUCCAGAUUCCACUUUUCUUAAUGACUUUCCCCUUAAAAGCCUACACAGUUGUCUUUGAAGAAGUUAACUUUGAAGAAGGAGAAAAAGAAUAGAUGAAUCAUUUGCAGGAAACAGGGGGAGAGACGUGUGGUUGGAACAGCAGAUGGCUGAGCGUGUGGGCACAUAGCUGUCUCUGUGGUUCCUUCCACCACCCUCUGGAAAUGAAUCCUUUGGAAGUGUACACUCAUUCCAGGGUGGGGGCUGCACCCGCUUUCAGGUACUAACAUGUAAAUCCACAUCCGCUAGGAUUCUUCUCAGACAUCAAAACUCCGGGAGGGUGGGAAGGCCAGGCUCAGGCCCAGAUUGGACGAUUUAUCCUCUCCUUGAAGUUCUGACAUUAAACUUUUGAAAGAUAAAGUGAUAAACUACUUUCAAUUAGUGGUAACAGAAGUUCUCAUGCUGCCUUCUUGCUCCUGCAGGAUAUGAAAUGUAUGAAAUUCAUUUCAUCAACAGACUGUUUCAUCGAUUUUUUCCCGCAGCCAUCACCACCGUCUGCCCUCCCUCCGCUAUGCCCAUAUCACAGGACCCUGUUGUGAGCACAUGAAUGUGCAGAAAGAUAAGCGCUUGUCAUUUUUUUAGUGCAGUAGCAGUUUUGGUAAAAUGCAGAUACGUUUCUUAGCACAAAUUAUGAUAUACCACUUGGGAACAAAGCAUUGUGGUUAGGAGCACUUUUUAUUAAUGAACACCCCUUGAAAAUCGACUUUAGUAAUAAAAGUCAUCUGAUUAAGAGUGAGUAAACUCAGUCCAGAAAUCAAUCUGAAUAAUUAUAAAAAAUAUUUCAGCAAUUAUAAAUCUUGUUAAUAAUAGAAUUUCCACCCCUUACUCAUGAGUUGAUGACUCAUUUAUCUGAAAGUCAUUCAUACUAACCUUCACAAAAGCACUAAUUCUUGGAUCCUGAAAAGCUUCAAAAUUACUCUUCAUAAUUUUAAAACUGACCAGACUGGACUAAUUUUUUGCCUCUCAAGAUUCCCCAGGCCUGCCUGACCCAAGCCUCAGCCGCUUCCUGAAUGGAGAACCUCCCGGGGGCGGGGCUUCGCAGAGAUCAUCCCACAUCUCACCCACUGCAAGAGGAGCCUCGGUGGCUCCAGGCUCCCGUCUGACCCGACCAGACUCAUGAAACUUAUGGAUGGCUUCUUUCGUUCCACCUCUUCCAGGCAGCUUAGUAAGAUGUGGAAUCUGGCUUCCCUAAUGGCUCCCUGAAGUAGCUAAUAACCCAGAAGUGCAAGGGAGUUAAACUUUGAAUCAAGGGACUAGAGGCCAGGAAAACAAAUCCUUCUCCUUUUUCCACCCAUCCCCCAACACCUGAUGGAUUGCUUCAAGGUGACCUGCAGAACGAGCAACUGGCUUGUAUUUCCUUGUGAAGUUAUGGUCAGUUCCUCAACAUAUUACCUGGUAUUUGCAUCCCUGCCUCAUCCCUCUUUCUCUUUCUCUUUUGAAGUCCUGGGAUUGCACCUUUCAGUACAGCCUUAGCAAGUACAGUCAUGUACCAUAUAAUGACGUUUUGAUCACUGAGGGACCACAAAUAAGACGUGGUCCCGUAAGAUUAGUACCACAUGGCCUAGGUGUGUAGUAGGCUGUACCAUCUAGGUUUCCAGAAGUACACUCUGUGAUGUUUCCACAAAGACUAAAUCACCUAAGGACGCAUAUCUCAGAACGUAUCGGUGUCGUUGAAUGACACAUGACUGUAAUCUUUGCCUCAGGUUUUAGUUUCUAGGGAAUUUGGCUAAGAUAAUGAGUAAAAAGAAAAUCACGUUAUAUCUUCAAUCUGGCCUCCUGCCUACAGUCUAUUUCCUUCUUAAACAAAAUGAAUGGAGAUCUAAAAUCCCUGUUAAGGUUAAGAGAGCUGCUUCAGCGAAAUGUCUCUGGGUUGAGACUACGUUUCCUGAAUCCUAUCUAACUUUCCUGUGAGUGAGUUUCAUCUCACCACAAGAGGACUGGAUACUAGCAGUUCUUUUCUCAGAUUGGUUGCUUCUGCCCAGCUUGGUGUGGUGAACCAGGACAAUGGACGGUAGCUUUUCCUAUAUACAUCCUGCUAUUUGCAAACCUACUUCCCAAUCUCCAUCUGAUUACUUUUGAUGCUAUCCUCUGCCUUCUUUGUGUCCUUACCUCCCAUUUCACUUUCAGUGAAUUCCUGAUAUGCACUUGUGAUAAAGCCAGUUGGAAGUAAUAUUCAAAAUUCUUUUGAUUCAGGAUUUUCUGUUUUGUGUAAAAUAUGUAUUUUUUAAUCAACAGCUAAAGAAUAUCAGCUGCAAAGAGCAACGUGAUAUUUGGGGAUUGUAAACAAGACACUUUAAUGUCACAAAUCUUUUCCAGAAGGAGAAAGAGAAGCAAAGGGACUUUCCCACUUCUCUAUUUAAUGCGCCAGAAAAUAUCUUCUCUUGGGGAGGUGGGGGGUGAGGAUAAAGGCUUUUAGAUAUCUAGUGGUACAGUCAUGCGCCACAUAACGAAGUUUCGGUCAACAAUGGUCCACAUAUAUGGCGGUGGCCCCUAACAUUAGUACCAUACAGCCUAGGUGUGCAGUAGGCUAUACCAUCUAGGUUUGUGUGAGUACACUCUAUGAUGUUGCAGAACGACAAAGUCAGCUAACAACACAUUUCUCAGAAGUAUCCCCGUCGUUAAGUGACGCAUGACUGUAUUACUCUGUCCUUCAUGCUCAUGAGGAAAGCAGGGACUGAAAGCUAGAAGUGUGUAUUAGACCUGUGAUUUCAAUGAGUUAAAAUUCCUCAGAAGGUGUGCAUAGUUAAUAAUGGCUGAAACAGAGCUUAGGACAAACAAUUCUUCUGGAAUUGAAACAAAACAAACAAUAAUCAGAGCUCUUUGACCCUGAUGGAACCUAAGGAGUGAGUGCAGUUUUCAUCACAAGGGGAGAUUUAAAAGGAGUGGAGAAGGGAAUGUUAGGCAUCAAUGAGUUACGUAUCAAAGUGUGCUUCCGGGUUAUCAAGGGCCUCCACGUUUUUUCUGUUUGAAACUAGCGAUUGAGUAAUGGUAUUGACGUUCAAUGGCUAUAAUGAACUUAACAUUACGGCUGAAAAUAAGGUAUAAAAAAUAAAAUAGGAUUUUAAUUUUAUUUAUUUACCAAUCAAAAACGGGUAAAGAAUGUGAAUAGACAGUUCACAGGAAAGGCAAUCCAAACAGCCUUCAAACAUACAAAAAGAUGCUCUCCCUGACUCUUAAUAAGAGAAAUGCAAAUUAUAGUUACCAUGAGAUAUCAGUAUUCAUCUACCGAAUUGACAAAAUGUUUGACAGCACACUGUGUCAGCUAAGGUAUGGGGAAUAAAUACAUUACUGCUGGGAAUGUAAACUAGUACCAUUCUGAAAGGGUCAUCUGGGUGAUGUCUAUCAAAAUGAUACAUUCACAUACUCUGACCAGGCAAUUCCACAGUUAAGAAUUUAUCCUGCAGAUAUCCUCACCUACAAAGUGGGUGAGUGUGUAAAAGCAGAUUCAUUGCAGUCAUUGCUUGCAUUAGCGAAAAUGUUAUCAGCAACCUCAAUAUUCAUCGAUGGGAAGACUGGAUAAAUAAAUUAUGGUAGGCCCAUGCAAGGGCAUACUAUGUAGCCAUUAAAAAUAAUGAGAAAGCUCUAUGUUUUCUGAUUAUGAGCCCAUCUCCAAAAUGUGUUCAGUGAGAAAUCAAACUGCACUCCUGUUUGUUUAGUCUGCUACGGUUGUAUAAUAAUAACAUCAAUAAUACUAAAUGUAUAUGCUUGUACAUGCAUAGACUCUCAUUGGGAAGAUACGUAAAAACUAGUUAACAGUGGUUGCCUCUCGGAAGAGGAACUAGGUGGCUAGGAGAGGCUAACUUUUACUCUAUACCACUUUUUCCUUUUGAAUUUUAUUCCAUGCACAGGUCUCACCUAUCCAAAUAUAACUCACUAAUGCUUUAUUUUUUAAAAGAAAAAAAACUGUACAAUAUAUGCAGACAUUUGAAAAGGGGCUUUCAUCUUAUUCAAGGGGAAAACUGUAUUUUGUAGUUCCAAGUCACCUGACAGCAGCACACCCAUUAUGUACAUAAAUAUAUUAUAUAAACAGACUUUAUUUUUUAGAGCAGCUUUAGGUGUACAGCAAAAUUAAGCAGGAAGUACAGAGAUUUCCCCUUCAACUCCCCGUCCCCAUACAUGCACAGCCUUCUCCAUUAUCAAUAUCCCACACCAGAGUGGUACAUUUGUCACAAGAGAUGAACCUACACUGACACAUUGUUAACACCCAAAGUCCAUAGUUUACAUAAGGGCUCACUCUAAGUGGUGUACAUUCUAUGAAUUUUAGCAAAUGUAUAAUGACAUGUUCACUAUUAUAGUAUCAUACAGAAUCGUUUUACUGCCCUAAAAAUCCUCUGUGCUCCACCAGUUCAUCUGUCCCUCCCUCCAACCCGCGGCAAUCACUAUCUUUUUCCUGGCUCCAUAGUUUUGCCUUUCCAACAGUGUCCUAUAGCUGGAAUCACACAGUAUGCAGCCUUUUCAGAUUGGCUUCUUUCACUUAGCAAUAUGCCCUUAAGUUUCCUCCAUGUCUUUUCAUGGCUUGAUAGCUCCUAUCUUUUUAGUGCUGAAUAAUAUUCUAUUGUCUGGAUAUACUACACUUUAUUUAUCCAUUCACCCACUGAAGGACAUCUUGGUUGCUCCCAAGAUUUGGCAAUUAUGAAUAAAGCUGCUAUAAACACCUGUGUGCAGUUUUUUUUUUGUGGACAUAAGUUUUCACCUCCUUUGGGUAAAUACCAAGCAGUAUGACUGCUGGAUCAUACGGUAAGAGUAUGUUUAAUUUUGUAAGAAAUUGCCAAACUGUCCUCCAAAGUAGCUGGACCGUUUUGCGUUCACAUCAGCAAUGAAUGAGGGUUCUGUUGCUCCACGUCCUCGCCAGCCUUUGGUGUUGUCAGUGUUCCAGAUUUUGGCCAUUCUGAUAGGUGCGCAGGUCUCAUUGUUGUUUUAAUUUCCAUUUCCCUGAUGACAUAUGAUGUGGAGCAUCUUUUCAUAUGCUUACUUGCCAUCUGUAUAUGUUCUUUGGUGAAGUGUCCAUUAAGGUCUUUGGCCCUUUUUAAAAUCAGGUGGUUCAUUUUCUUCUUGCUGAAUUCUAAGAGUUAUUUGUAUAUUUGGGUAAACAGUCCUUUAUCAGAUGUGUGUUUUGCAACUAUUUUCUCCCAGUCUGUGGCUUGCACAUGUUUUUAAAAGAAGUAAGUCAGCUUUAAAGAUUGAAUCAGAAAUUAGAAUUAUCAAAUGGCCAUAUUACUUUAUGAAUAAGUGGAUAAGUCUUUACUACUUCCCUCUAUAACUGACUCUUUCUUGUCAGCACAGCCAUGUUUCCAGCUGAUUUCCUUAAGCUCUUUGCAGUAAAGCAAUCCAAUGAGUAAUGGACAAGUACAUGCAAAUGCAGACUGUGAUGUUGUGAUGUUUAAACUGCCCUUAAAAUAAAAACUAAUUUGUGUAAGGAUUAAAAAGACUUAUUCCUCUGUAAUUCGUAAUUUCCCAAUUGCAUUGUGAUGAAUUUCACCAGUAAGUUUUCUAAGAAAUGCACAUUAAGAGAGAACAAAUGAAUCAGAGUAAUUUACUGUACCAGAGCAAAUAUCUCCACGUGAGAGAACUAAUCAUUGAUUACUUACAUAACGUGCCUCAGAAAGUAGCGUAUAUUAUCUUCUCUUUAUGUGUUCCUGACUUGUCUCCUUAUUAUGUCACUCUAAAACCACUUGCUUUUCACAUAUGAAAUGAAGCACUGUGGAGUUCCCCACUGUAGGUCUGAGUUGUCCCAUCCUGGGAUGGCAGGACUCCAUCAGUCAUCUUGAACUUUGAUCUUGAACCUUGAUACUGUUCUAACUCCAUGAAUGCUAACUUUGUAACAUUCUUUCCUGGGUCACAGUCCCACCUGUUAGCUUCUUGAGGGGAGUGUCCCCAUGUGAUUUAGCUUUUGAUCCCUCAGGAUAUCUUGUAGCAACUCAGCAGAUAUAUCAAGCAUGAAUGUUUUAAGAGGUGGAAAACCAAGUCAUUUUGGCAUAAUUUAAAGCAUUUUCAGUCUGUAGAGCAUUCUGUGACAGAUACCAGUGAUACUUUUGCAAAAAGAGGAGAGAAUUCUGAUACGGUCCUGGGUGGUGAAAUGGCAAUGUCGCUGUUGGAAAGGGCCAGGCAGCAGAUGAAAAAAGGCAUGACCAGGUGCUACGAGGACAGACUCCAAGACCUCAAACGGAAGCACAACCUGAAAACAUUAUGCCCAGCUCUUCACUGAAUGACCAUGUUUAACCCCUUCUACUAAUAUGGGAUGCUCCCCACCCCCAUUUCAGCAAUAGGAGUAAUAGGAGUAACAUCCCUUACACUUUUUUUUUUUUUUUAACAGAUUGGCACCUGAGCUAACAACUGUUGCCAAUCUUCUCUUUUUUUCCUGCUUUUUCUCCCCCAAAUCCCCCCAGUACAUAGUCAUAUAUUUUAGUUGUGGGUCCUUCUAGUUGUGGCAUGUGGGAUGCUGCCUCAACGUGGACUGAUGAGUGGUGCCAUGUCUGCACCCAGGAUCCGAACCAGGAAAACCCUGGGCCGCUGAAGCGGAGCACGUGAACUUAACCACUCGGUCACAGGCCGGCGCCUCCCCUACACUUUUGUUUAUAAUGAAAAACAAUGGAGAGAUAGGCCUUUCUUC